This is a non-coding RNA of Oncorhynchus mykiss (rainbow trout), 3859 nucleotides long. The record is from RefSeq and is a predicted model, not a curated record. Lineage: Eukaryota; Metazoa; Chordata; Actinopteri; Salmoniformes; Salmonidae.
UGCUCAGGAUCACCUGGCGUCUCUCUGCUCAGGAUCACCUGGCCCUCUCUGCUCAGGAUCACCUGGCCCUCUCUGCUCAGGAUCACCUGGCGUCUCUCUGCUCAGGAUCACCUGGCCCUCUCUGCUCUGGCUGAAAAACAUUGUCACGUAAGGUGUUCAGGAAAUGAAGGAGAUGGGCAGUGUUGUAUGGUUCAAGGGUGGCAUGGCGGUGGAGGACCCCAUUAUGGCUCAUGGCUGGGCAUGUGGGGACAUUUCCCCCGUGCUGGCCAGGCACCUUAAUGAUGGCGCGUUGACCAAUGAUGUCCCUUCCUCUCCUCCUCGACUUCACUAAAUGGAAUCCAGCCUCAUCUAUGAAUGAGUUCCUGGGGGAUGGGACUUGCGUCCAUCUCCAUGAUUCUCUAAAAUGACAGAAAAUACUAUAAUUGCUGUAUGGUAAAGUUCACUGGCAACAUCAACGAGUCUCUAAUGUUUCUAGAGUGUAAUACCAGAACAUUACGCACACAUUCCUACUAUUUAUCCUUCACUCUUCACUCAAUCUGGUGAUUCCUUUCCAAUAUGACUCUGUAGAUGUGCUUCAUCUGGAGAUGGUGUUUGUUAAGGAUGGGGUCUGUGGUUGAUAAACUCUCUCUGAUGUUAUGGAAGAUGCCAGGGUUACAGCCUCCUGUUUGUCUGUAAAUAGACAUGUACGUACGUGGUGGUCGUCUUUCAGUUCUAUAACAACUAAAUAGCAUACAGUACAGUAAACACUACAGUAAUACAGUAUACAAGAUAAACAUGUUACAAAGUAGUAUAGCUCCCAAUUUCAUACAUACAGUAAGUAAUACAUGAACCAUUUACUUUGUUUCCCUUUACAGUAUGUAUUGGAAUCUACAGUCUUUACUGUGCUUUAUGUUGUACUACUGUCAAGUAGUAAAAGUAGAAGAGAGGUCCAAUGUCUGCAGUACAAACCUCUUCUCAUUGUGGAACGUCCGGAUGAUGGAUGCUACGGGGAAGUGGCUCAGAUUGGGCUGCACUCUCUGCACAGCCUCUCUCAAGGUCAAACCAUGGUUGACCACAUGGUCUGCCCAGCAUCUCUCAAGGUCAAGCCAUGGUUGACCACAUGGUCUGCCCAGCCUCUCUCAAGGUCAAACCACGGUUGACUACAUGGUCUGCCCAGCCUCUCAAGGUCAAACCAUGGUUGACCACAUGGUCCACCACAGUCGCCGAGACUCUUGUUCUCCUUGUUCUUGGUCUUCCUUAUUCCUCACCUCUAUCUCCAACUCUCCCUGCUAAGUUUGCUUCCAUUGUUCUCCAAACACAGGAGUACUCACCUGUGGUCUUGUUGUCCAUACCAAAAGGUUUGAGUGCAAAGUUGAACAUUUAUGCAAAUCGUGUUUGAACAUGUGGAGAGUGAAAAUGAUCAAUUGGUAAUUGAGCUUAGCUUGUUGAACAGUGUUGCUUUUCAUUUGAACACAAGAGAUUUUAGUUGUCAAGGUUUUGCCAAAAUGUUUUGCCAAAUGUUGGUUAUAGAAUUUCAAUCUGUGCCAGUAGUAUUGCAGAUUUGGUUUUCUGCUUCUGCUAAAUGGGUUACAUAUUUGGGUCAUUGUGCCUCAUGGGCCAGUUUUAGUGUGUUAACAAUUGGGAAAAACUGUCAGUAUUAUUUUGCAAACCCUGUGACAAUGUGAAAGAAAACUAUUCAAACUCAGGCUCAAUGGUUGUUUCCCAUAGUGACAUUAAAGUAAAACUCCACACACAAACCAUAUUUUGGUAUUUAUUUAGUUAGUCCAUUGUUGAUAUAAUCCUAAAAUGUUUUGCACGUCAGCAAUCAAGUUUUAAAGAAACAUAACUUUCAAAAUACAGAAAUACAGCCGGUAUGAUGCCAUUUUAAUUAUAUAUUGCAAAACGCUGCAUCAUGUAAUUCAAAAUGCAUCACAACGGCUGUAUCUCCAAAAAGCGUUUCGGUGUCAUUUUCCUUUAAGUGCUGAGAGGGAAUGUAUUUCAUACUCAUUCAGCUGUACUUAUUGACAGUAGCCAGACACACAGAUGUCCUGUAUAACAAAAUAUUCAUUAGGUCAACAGUUGACCCCAAAGCAAAGGCAACAAUUUCCUAAAUGAUAGAUAAUUGUGGCACUAUUGUAAGACCAGACACUGAUAGAGACCAUCAUCUGGAAUAGAAACAGAGUUUUAAAGGGUUUCCACAGACAAAUAUACCCUUCCCCAUUACAGACAGUAGUCAUCUACCCUUCCACUUUACAGACAGUAGUCAUCUACCCUUCCCCUUUAAAGACAGUAGUCAUCUACCCUUCCCCUUUAAAGACAGUAGUCAUCUACCCUUCCCCUUUAAAGACAGUAGUCAUCUACCCUUCCACUUUACAGACAGUAGUCAUCUACCCUUCCCCUUUAAAGACAGUAGUCAUCUACCCUUCCCCUUUAUAGACAGUAGUCAUCUACCCUUCCACUUUACAGACAGUAGUCAUCUACCCUUCCCCUUUAAAGACAGUAGUCAUCUACCCUUCCCCUUUAUAGACAGUAGUCAUCUACCCUUCCCUUUUAAAGACAGUAGUCAUCUACCCUUCCCCUUUAAAGACAGUAGUCAUCUACCCUUCCCCUUAAUAGACAGUAGUCAUCUACCCUUCCCCUUUAAAGACAGUAGUCAUCUACCCUUCCCCUUUAAAGACAGUAGUCAUCUACCCUUCCCCUUAAUAGACAGUAGUCAUCUACCCUUCCCCUUUAUAGACAGUAUUCAUUGACCCUUCCCCUUUAAAGACAGUAGUCAUCUACCCUUCCCCUUUAAAGACAGUAGUCAUCUACCCUUCCCCUUUAAAGACAGUAGUCAUCUACCCUUCCCCUUUAAAGACAGUAGUCAUCUACCCUUCCCCUUUAUAGACAGUAGUCAUCUACCCUUCCCCUUUAUAGACAGUAGUCAUCUACCCUUCCCCUUUAAAGACAGUAGUCAUCUACCCUUCCCCUUUAUAGACAGUAUUCAUUGACCCUUCCCCUUUAAAGACAGUAGUAAUCUACCCUUCCCCUUUAUAGACAGUAUUCAUUGACCCUUCCCCUUUAUAGACAGUAGUCAUCUACCCUUCCCCUUUAAAGACAGUAGUCAUCUACCCUUCCCCUUUAAAUACAGUAGUCAUCUACCCUUCCCCUUUAUAGACAGUAUUCAUUGACCCUUCCCCUUUAUAGACAGUAGUCAUCUACCCUUCCCCUUUACAGACAGUAGUCAUCUACCCUUCCCCUUUAAAGACAGUAGUCAUCUACCCUUCCCCUUUAAAGACAGUAGUAAUCUACCCUUCAGCAUCAAUAUACCAUUUAACAAAACAGUAGCCGUAUAUGAAGGACCCCCCCCCCUCCUGAUUACCAGGUUUGAGGUCAAUUCCAUUUAAUUCCCAGUUAAUUCAGAAAGUAGACCAAAUUCCAAAUGGUCCUCAUUGAAAUACAUUGAAGAUAACUGGGAUUUCAGUGCACAUCCUUAUAUGACUGAAAUUUAAAUGGAAUUGACCUCCGGCCCCCCUGUUUACCACUAGCAAGAUCAAAACGGUGAGUAACUCCAUUACUCAGCCACACAAACAUCAGAGCACACAACCCCUUCAUACAAAACUGUGCGUUUUAAUAGGAUUUGAGACUGUCAAAUGUGACCCGUUACUGUGUGGGGGGUAUUCUGUUUCUUCUAAUAGUUGGUGUUGUGAAGGAUUUUCUGUGUAUGUGAAUCUGUUGUCAUAAGCACCUUGCCUUGGUCCUCCAGAUAGUGGUUCUGGAUGGGGACAACAAGCACAUUGUGAAGAAAUGGCUUAGCAAUGCAAUCUUACUAUAAGACUGAAAAUAGUUUUUAUGGGCAGAAUUUGAAUGUUUUUUAAACAAAAUAAAAGUUGUAAAAGGA